RNAcentral lists this long non-coding RNA (426 nucleotides) under Bos indicus x Bos taurus (hybrid cattle). Its description in RNAcentral is "lncRNA (ENSBIXG00000027194.1)". Lineage: Eukaryota; Metazoa; Chordata; Mammalia; Artiodactyla; Bovidae. The record is from RNAcentral.
CUUGGUUCUAUAUUUCAAAUUCUCAGCACCAAGCCAGGAAUCAGACCCGUGUGGUUCCUCUUUCCUCCUGGAGGAAGGCGCUAUGUGGAUUUCAAGGACUGUGUGUUGUCAGCCACUUUCUGCUAGCUUGGAGCAAAUGUGUGGACAUUCUGUUUUGGAGACAAGCUGUUGAUGGAGUCAAAGAACUUAGGACGAAGCACUACAAUAGCCUUGAAAAUCAAAGGCCUGGCAACCACUCGAGCGAGCAGAAUGAGACUGGAGCACGUUCAAAACCACAUUAUCAGAGAAUCUGCCUGGUGAUUUUCUGGACAAGCCUACUAGCAAGGCUAUCUUUAUUGACCUAACAUGGAGCUCAACAUCUGAGGCCCUAGAAAACAGGUACGGCUUGGUUGAUUUAAUAUUCUCCUCUGUAUCCUUACCUAUCUG